UACGUAGGGGGCAAGCGUUAUCCGGAUUUACUGGGUGUAAAGGGAGCGUAGACGGCCAGACAAGUCUGAAGUGAAAAUCCAGCGCUUAACGCUGGAAGUGCUUUGGAAACUGCCGGGCUGGAGUGCAGGAGGGGCAGGCGGAAUUCCUAGUGUAGCGGUGAAAUGCGUAGAUAUUAGGAGGAACACCAGUGGCGAAGGCGGCCUGCUGGACUGCAACUGACGUUGAGGCUCGAAGGCGUGGGGAGCAAACAGG
Molecule: ribosomal RNA, 253 nt
Filed under: uncultured bacterium
Lineage: Bacteria
Description: partial 16S ribosomal RNA
Rfam family: Bacterial small subunit ribosomal RNA
Source: RNAcentral